Long non-coding RNA from Homo sapiens (human), 566 nucleotides. RefSeq lists it as uncharacterized. NCBI's taxonomy places the organism in Eukaryota, Metazoa, Chordata, Mammalia, Primates, Hominidae. The record is from RefSeq and is a predicted model, not a curated record. The transcript is spliced from 2 exons.
CCCUACAGUCAGAAAGAAGCUGGUUUAGAAGGAGCCAGGGCUGAGGCCUCCUAAGGAUCUGGAUGGCCCCAUGCCCUCAGCUGCCAGCCACAGAGGACAUCUUCUGUUUGUGGAGCUGGGUGGCCCCUACUGCUGUGCACACUCACUCACCACAUGUGCCCACUGGAAGCCUGCAGCGAGACGUGGCUGCUAUACUGGAACGCAGGCUGCUCCUUGGAUAACACUGGUUCCUGUAAAGGUUUAGGCAAAAUGGGUCAGGCCAAGCCCCAGGGACAUGUUUCCUGCACCCCAGGGUUACAUGCUGACUGCCAGUUCAUCAAGACUGGAUGUCCCCUACCCAGCCACCACCACAGCAGGCACUCCCAUAGCAUGAUACACUUCCUGCCAGUACCUCCUCCCAUAGAUGGCCAUUUGGCUGGGCCUUUUAUGCUGGCUCUGGGAAAGAUAAUCUCAGACUGAAUGUCCGAAGGCACUGGGCAAAGGACCUCCUCUGCAGCCCGGGGAACACAGUGAGACCCCAUCUCCACAAAAAAAAAAAAAAAAAAAAAAAAAAUUUAAACUAACCA